This 451-nucleotide ribosomal RNA is filed under the name uncultured bacterium. RNAcentral's name for it is "partial 16S ribosomal RNA". It matches the Rfam family "Bacterial small subunit ribosomal RNA", at positions 29 to 523 of the family's 1533-position model. The record is from RNAcentral.
AGCGAACGCUGGCGGCAGGCUUAACACAUGCAAGUCGAGCGGGCAUAGCAAUAUGUCAGCGGCAGACGGGUGAGUAACGCGUGGGAACGUACCUUUUGGUUCGGAACAACACAGGGAAACUUGUGCUAAUACCGGAUAAGCCCUUACGGGGAAAGAUUUAUCGCCGAAAGAUCGGCCCGCGUCUGAUUAGCUAGUUGGUGAGGUAAUGGCUCGCCAAGGCGACGAUCAGUAGCUGGUCUGAGAGGAUGAUCAGCCACAUUGGGACUGAGACACGGCCCAAACCCCUACGGGAGGCAGCAGUGGGGAAUAUUGGACAAUGGGCGCAAGCCUGAUCCAGCCAUGCCGCGUGAGUGAUGAAGGCCCUAGGGUUGUAAAGCUCUUUUGUGCGGGAAGAUAAUGACGGUACCGCAAGAAUAAGCCCCGGCUAACUUCGUGCCAGCCGCCGCCGUAA